RNAcentral lists this transfer RNA (75 nucleotides) under Omnitrophica bacterium RIFCSPHIGHO2_02_FULL_63_14. Its description in RNAcentral is "tRNA-Glu". It matches the Rfam family "tRNA". From Rfam's summary of the family: Transfer RNA (tRNA) molecules are approximately 80 nucleotides in length. Their secondary structure includes four short double-helical elements and three loops (D, anti-codon, and T loops). Further hydrogen bonds mediate the characteristic L-shaped molecular structure. tRNAs have two regions of fundamental functional importance: the anti-codon, which is responsible for specific mRNA codon recognition, and the 3' end, to which the tRNAs corresponding amino acid is attached (by aminoacyl-tRNA synthetases). tRNAs cope with the degeneracy of the genetic code in two manners: having more than one tRNA (with a specific anti-codon) for a particular amino acid; and 'wobble' base-pairing, i.e. permitting non-standard base-pairing at the 3rd anti-codon position. The record is from RNAcentral. Lineage: Bacteria; Pseudomonadati; Candidatus Omnitrophota.
GUCCCCAUCGUCUAACGGUUAGGACAACAGCCUUUCGAGCUGACAAUGGGGGUUCGAUUCCCCCUGGGGACACUA